Molecule: unclassified non-coding RNA, 224 nt
Filed under: plant metagenome
Description: partial contains small subunit ribosomal RNA, internal transcribed spacer 1, and 5.8S ribosomal RNA
Source: RNAcentral
UCUCCGUUGGUGAACCAGCGGAGGGAUCAUUACAGGACUCGCAAGACUCCUUCACCCUGUGAACCUCACUACAAGCACGUUGCUUCGGCGGGUGUCCCGGCGGGGGUUUUCCCUCGCCGGGGCGCACAGCCCGACGGCAGUCUACUAUACUCUGUCUCUUUGCGUUGGCAUCUCGAGAAAAAACAAACAAGUUAAAACUUUCAACAACGGAUCUCUUGGUUCUG